Long non-coding RNA from Neofelis nebulosa (Clouded leopard), 849 nucleotides. RefSeq lists it as uncharacterized. The record is from RefSeq and is a predicted model, not a curated record. The transcript is spliced from 4 exons. NCBI's taxonomy places the organism in Eukaryota, Metazoa, Chordata, Mammalia, Carnivora, Felidae.
UCCAUUAUCUGUCUCACCGAUUUUGGGAUGUCCACAUGACAGAAGUAUUUGUCCCAUUUCUCAGAGGAGGAAGCUGAGGCUGACAGAGGUGGACAGACUUGGCCCAAAUCCCACAGCAACAAUAACUGCAACCUGCAACAAGCUGCCAACAGAAGCGACAAAACCUGUGAACCAUGAGGUGGUAUGUGAAAGGAAAUUAGCAAUAAAUAGGGAGUGCUGAAGAACCCUUUUCUUGAGGACUUAGGAUCAGUAUGAAAACCAAUCAGAAGGAAGUAUCCUUGGCUGCAGCCUGCGAAAUGGGAACUGGGCUCCAUCACCUGGCUCUCCAGUGUCAAGAGCAACUUGGGACAAGUCCCCUCCUGUCUUUGUGGGUGGCUGAUUCCUCUGGCUGGGCCAGGGAACACCCUCUCUAGUGGCAGCUGGCUGAGAAUCCCAAUGAACCCAGUCACGGACGAGCCACCGUUGGACUAGACACAUAUGAAGUCCAACUCUGGAGGCUGCUCACAGCCUGAUAGAGAAACUGAGGCUUGGAGUGAUCAAAGGUCUCACAGCAUGAAGUCGGCAGAAUCAAGGCCCAGAGUUCUUAGAUCACCAAAAGAAAUACUCAAGGGUGGUCAGAUCAAGAACAACUCCUCUCUCCCGUCAUCCUGAGAGUCUCAGCAAGACUAAGGCAGCACAGUCCCUUGUUCACCUGCCCAGUCUGGUGGCCUGCAAAGUUCUGGCCACAAACCCUACAGCCCAGCUGCCUAGAAGACCGCACCCCCCUGCAAAAUUUCAUUACUCAAGUUGGCAAGAACGCAGCCCCCACCCCCCCAGCCGGGUCUAAAUAAACGCCCAAGUGAUAUCACA